CCUACGGGUGGCAGCAGUGAGGAAUAUUGGUCAAUGGCCGGAAGGCUGAACCAGCCAUGCCGCGUGAAGGUCAGUGCCCUAUGGGCGUUAAACUUCUUUUGUGCGGGAGCAAUAAUGGUCACGUGUGGCCAGACGAGAGUACCGUACGAAUAAGCAUCGGCUAACUCCGUGCCAGCAGCCGCGGUAAUACGGGGGAUGCAAGCGUUAUCCGGAUUUAUUGGGUUGAAAGGGUGCGUAGGCUGUGAGGUAAGUCAGCGGUGAAAUGCCCCCGCUCAACGGGGUGAAGUGCCAUUGAUACUGCCUGGCUGGAAUGCGGAUGACGUGGGAGGAAUGUGUGGUGUAGCGGUGAAAUGCAUAGAUAUCACACAGAACACCGAUUGCGAAGGCAUCUCACGAAUCCGCGAUUGACGCUGAUGCACGAAAGCGUGGGUAUCAAACAGGAUUAGAUACCCCAGUAGUC
Molecule: ribosomal RNA, 460 nt
Filed under: uncultured bacterium
Lineage: Bacteria
Description: partial 16S ribosomal RNA
Rfam family: Bacterial small subunit ribosomal RNA
Source: RNAcentral